AAUAUUGGGCAAUGGGGGCAACCCUGACCCAGCAACGCCGCGUGAAGGAAGAAGGCCUUCGGGUUGUAAACUUCUUUGACGAGGGACGAAAAAAAUGACGGUACCUCGAAAACAAGCCACGGCUAACUACGUGCCAACAGCCGCGGUAAUACGUAGGUGGCAAGCGUUGUCCGGAUUUACUGGGUGUAAAGGGCGCGUAGGCGGGAUCGCAAGUCAGAUGUGAAAUGUCGGGGCUUAACCCUGGAACUGCAUUUGAAACUGUGAUUCUUGAGUAUCGGAGAGGCAGGCGGAAUUCCUAGUGUAGCGGUGAAAUGCGUAGAUAUUAGGAGGAACACCAGUGGCGAAGGCGGCCUGCUGGACGACAACUGACGCUGAGGCGCGAAAGCGUGGGGAGCAAACAGG
This 402-nucleotide ribosomal RNA is filed under the name uncultured bacterium. RNAcentral describes it as "partial 16S ribosomal RNA". It matches the Rfam family "Bacterial small subunit ribosomal RNA", at positions 360 to 776 of the family's 1533-position model. The record is from RNAcentral.